AUGGCUCGAGGACGAACGCUGGCGGCGUGCUUAAUACAUGCAAGUCGAGCGAGGUUAUCUUUCAAAGUCCUUCGGGACGGCGAAUUUUAACCUAGCGGCGGACGGGUGAGUAACGCGUGGGGUAACCCUGCCCCUAAAGCCCGGGAUAACAUGGGAAACUGCUGCUAAUACCGGAUAGCUUUAUCUGGAGGCAUCUUCGGAUAAGGAAAAAAUUUAUUGCUUUAGGAUGGGCCCGCGUCCCAUUAGCUAGUUGGUGAGGUAACGGCCCACCAAGGCGACGAUGGGUAGCCGGCCUGAGAGGGUGAACGGCCACACUGGGACUGAGACACGGCCCAGACUCCUACGGGAGGCAGCAGUAGGGAAUAUUGCGCAAUGGAGGGAACUCUGACGCAGCGAACCGCAGCGUGAGCGAUGAAGGUUUUCGGAUCGUAAAGCUCUGUCCUUGGGGAAGAAGGCGGCCAUUUUUGGCCACUUGACGGUACCCAAGGAGGAAGCCCCGGCUAACUACGUGCCAGCCGCAGC
RNAcentral lists this ribosomal RNA (522 nucleotides) under uncultured bacterium. RNAcentral's name for it is "bacterial SSU rRNA". It matches the Rfam family "Bacterial small subunit ribosomal RNA", at positions 26 to 518 of the family's 1533-position model. The record is from RNAcentral.